UUCAAGCGUUACUCCACGCCGCGAAAACAAGUUGUUUACGAGUUUUGCAGCGAGCGUUUUGAUCGGAAAACUUUACGUUUUACGUGCAAAACAAUUAUGGCACAAACAGGGGGCGUAACUUUGCUUUGCGUUCUUGCACUUCCGGAUUGAGACAUUACAGCCACUGAUUACAGCGAGUACCAGUACAAAGUUAUUACAGUAUAAAUAUUAUAUUCAUUUUAAAUAUUCUGGAGGAAACACAGUGAAGGUUAGUUUUUAUAGUGAAUACUAUUUAGCCUACUGUUGAUUUGAAGCUCGAUUUUGAUGUACGGUAUCGGUGAAACGAGGACGCAAAAUCAAUGGACAAUGGCGGAUUUUCAAGAAAAUCAUUAUUUUCAAAAUAGGCCGUUUCAAUUUUACUAAGUUUUCGUUCCAACUGUGUCUUUAAAGGUUUAUAACUAUAUAUUUUGAAAGCUUCAAAUGCGUUUGUUUCCAACUAAAAUGUAGGCAUUUUCACAAGCUUUCAAACCAUCCGCGUUGGGGUGUAUGUCGUUAAAUUUUGAAUUAAUAUAAGCGGUUGAAACUCGUGCCUAAAGGCUAAAACCAGACAUUAUAUAGAACAUAAACAUAUGACAUUUAUUCGACUAUAUCUUUGCGAAUAUUAACAGGUAGAAUAAAUUUACGUAUAUUGUCAGAUAGCUGGUGCAAUCAGCUACAUUUCGGUACAAGCUAGAAUAUUGUAGCUAGAAUAUUGAGCGAGAAUUCGUUGCCUAAACGAGGGUGUAAAAAUUGCCGUCGGAAUACACAUUCUAGUCGGACAAUAUAAUGUCUGGUUUUAGGCACGAGGUUCAACCGCUUAUAUUAAUUCGAAAUUUAACGACAUACAGUACACCCCCAACGCGGAUGGUUUGAAAGCUUGUGAAAAUGCAUACAUUUUAGUUGGAUUUAUAUUCAGGUUAGUAGAAGAUUCGCCGAGAAAAUGUUCGUAACAAACUGUUGUUAUGCCAUGGAAAUUCAAAAAUAUCUAUUACAUUUUCAAAAUCUCGCCUUGCUGCGCAUGUAAACAAACGCAUUUGAAGCUUUCAAAAUAUUUAACAAUUAUUUGCCGAAGGCGAGGUGAAGUUAUAAACCUUUAAAGACACUGUUGGCACGAAAACUUAGUAAAAUUGAAACGGCCUAUUUUGAAAAUGAUUUUCUUGAAAAUCCGC
This is a non-coding RNA of Paramuricea clavata, 1187 nucleotides long. The record is from the annotation of a GenBank genome assembly. NCBI's taxonomy places the organism in Eukaryota, Metazoa, Cnidaria, Anthozoa, Malacalcyonacea, Plexauridae.